AUUGAACGCUGGCGGCGUGCUUAACACAUGCAAGUCGUGCGGUAACAGGCGUAGCAAUACGUGCUGACGAGCGGCGAACGGGUGCGUAAUACAUGGGAAUCUGCCUUUUAGUGGGGAAUAACCCGGCGAAGGCCGGGCUAAUGCCGCAUAAGAUCUUCGGAUGAAAGCGGGGGAUCGUAAGACCUCGCGCUGAUAGAUGAGCCCAUGCCGGAUUAGCAGUUGGUGAGGUAACGGCUCACCAAGGCGACGAUCCGUAGCUGGUCUGAGAGGACGGCCAGCCACACUGGGACUGAGACACGGCCCAGACUCCUACGGGAGGCAGCAGUGGGGAAUAUUGGACAAUGGGGGAAACCCUGAUCCAGCGACGCCGCGUGUGUGAAGAAGGCCUGCGGGUUGUAAAGCACUU
This 406-nucleotide ribosomal RNA is filed under the name uncultured bacterium. RNAcentral's name for it is "bacterial SSU rRNA". It matches the Rfam family "Bacterial small subunit ribosomal RNA", at positions 30 to 435 of the family's 1533-position model. The record is from RNAcentral.